AUCGUGAAUACACCAAUGCUUCUUAAAAGAAGUCGCUUCCGCCCCCCAAUCCACAGCUAACCGCAAAAGGGUUUCUUUGAAAAGAAAAAGUCUAAGACGUUAAGUGGGAAACGGCCUUCCUGAAGUCUUCCAGUCCCUACUCAUCUCCACCACAUACAAACUGUUGAAUUUUCCCUCCUAAGCUGGCUCUCCUCCCCCCUGACCCCUUUCCUCCGCCCACCCUACAGCCCCAUUAUCUAAAAACACCACCCUUGCCAAUUCUUUAGAGCUACCUAUGCUCCUCUCCUUGAAUCCCCACUACCUCCGCCAAGGGCUGGGGGAGGGGGAGAGAGAGAAAAGCGAGGUGCCCUUUUGCAAACUAAUUUAUACAGCAAAACUGGGCUUGAAAAAGAAAACAGGGUUUUUUUGUGCAAAAUGUACAAGGGGGCGACAUGAUGAAGAAAAAAAAAAUAGAGAGACCUUCCUUACAUCCUUGCGAAGUGGUGGCCUCCCCCCGUUUCUUUGGGGUUCGCUAUGGGUCGGGGGAGCCUCACCUCUAAGGCGUCUUGCGUUCCUUUGCGUCUCUUUUCUUGAACGUGAAAACAGGGUAUAUUUGAGCAGAAACUGUUAUGUCCUCCAAACGGAAGCGGAAGGAAAUGGCCCUUUGGGGAGGGGGCGUGUUUCCUGGCGCUUCCUCUUUGGCCUGGCAUCCUUCUUGCACUUAGAGUUUACAUUUUAAUGGGUAUAUAUACCAACUUUUUGAAGGACACCCAUUGGAGACGUCUUUCAAUGGGGUGUGUGCGCGUGUUCCGGUGAACAUUCAUAUAUAUAAAUAUAUAUAUAUUAUAUAUUUAUUGGUUAUAGCCAGUUUUAAACUAUUUUUUUCCCUUUUGUUGGUUUUGUAUUAUUUAUCCCCAACAUUUAUGUAUUUAUAAGAAAAAUAUGUACUUUUUUUUUUAGUAUUUACUUGUUAUAAAGGAAUAUGGUGUUUUUUCCUUGUCAUUGUACAACCAGUUUUUUCCUUUUCUCUUUCUUUUUUUAGUUAUUGUAAUUUAGGGAAAAGCCAGUAGUUACCUUCGUACUUAAAAUAAUGUGUUUAGUUCUACUGGAGGCAUGAAAUCCGAGCCAGGCUGUAAUUGUAUAGUCCUCAGUUAGAAGAACUAGCUAAACCCUUCCUUCCUUUCUCCUCUUCCUCCUCCACCACCACGCCCUCCUCCUCUUUUUUGAAACAUCUUUCUUUGUUCUUUACAGUAGAUAACUUUAUUUAUUUCCUUAAGGGUUGUCUGUUGAACAAUUCUUGAAUAAACUUUCUGUUCUUAA
Podarcis lilfordi (Lilford's wall lizard) is the source of this 1299-nucleotide non-coding RNA. The record is from the annotation of a GenBank genome assembly. NCBI's taxonomy places the organism in Eukaryota, Metazoa, Chordata, Lepidosauria, Squamata, Lacertidae.